GGGGACGCGUGGGCUCGACAGGGGAUGGCCUUGCAGGACAGCAGGCCGAGGUGCCGUCGCCCUCGUAAAACAGACGGCGAAAAAGUAACUGGCGAGCGUGCACUCGCUCUGGCGGCCUAAGUCAGGCCGUCUGUCUGCCCCGCCUUCCCCUGAGGGGUGGGCGCAGGCACCAGAACCUCAGGGUGCAGCCUCCCCCGACGCCGAUAGGGGGAUGCCCAAGACCGUCUCGGCUGGCCCAAAGGGGGCCUGUCGGUGGGCACCCGGCGGGCGAGAAAGAGACCACCGACUAAGCCUGUAGCCGGUCCUCGUGGGGAGUCCUCUGGACGGGGAGUUCAACUCUCCCCCGUCUCCACCA
This 355-nucleotide transfer-messenger RNA is filed under the name Dehalococcoidia. RNAcentral describes it as "HRBIN23 sp002923335 Standard tmRNA". It matches the Rfam family "transfer-messenger RNA". From Rfam's summary of the family: Bacterial tmRNA, also known as 10Sa RNA or SsrA, is named for its dual tRNA and mRNA-like properties. Lineage: Bacteria; Bacillati; Chloroflexota. The record is from RNAcentral. RNAcentral also lists the same sequence under 1 other name.